AUGGAGAAGUUCGCUAGAAGGAAGAAGAGUUGGGCGGCGAGGAGGAGAAGAAGGCGGUCUGCGAGCUGCUUGCACGCGCAGCAGCAGGAGUCCGCCAGUGAGGUUAUCGAGGUGGAGGUCAACGGGGUGAGACAGAGAAGUGGAGUUCUCAUAAAGAAACGCAGGUGCUGCCUGGAUUCGCCAUCGUGGCCGCCGCCUCCAGUCGCUUCCACCUGGACAUCCUUCGCCAACAAGAUGAUGAGGUAUGGCAUGGAAUGGUUGGGUUUUGAGUGGAGGCGAGAGAAGAAGAAAAGAGGGGUUGUCAGGUCGGACCUUGGGGGGUGUACUCUCUCCCUCAAGAUGCAUGGAAAUUUGGAGCAGUUAAUCCCAAUAGCGAGACAUGAGUUAUGCUCAAGGGAGUAUCAACAAGAACUUAAUGCAGGAUGCAGCCAGAUUGGGUCCAUUCCCGAUGGAGUGGAACUGGAGCUUCCAGGGGAUGGUUCUGAUCCAGUUCCAUUAAGGGUGUAUUUUUUUUGGAGCUUGGCCUGGUGUGGUUUUGUCCAUGCCUAUGAACAGGCUGCCCUCCAUGCCAUAAGAUUUUUAUAG
RNAcentral lists this ribosomal RNA (585 nucleotides) under Triticum aestivum (bread wheat). Its description in RNAcentral is "partial small subunit ribosomal RNA". The record is from RNAcentral. Lineage: Eukaryota; Viridiplantae; Streptophyta; Magnoliopsida; Poales; Poaceae.